GACGAACGCUGGCGGCGUGCUUAACACAUGCAAGUCGAACGGUAAGGCCCUUCGGGGUACACGAGUGGCGGACGGGUGAGUAACACGUGGGUGAUCUGCCCUGCACUUCGGGAUAAGCCUGGGAAACUGGGUCUAAUACCGGAUAGGACCACUGCCUACAUGGGUGGUGGUGGAAAGCUUUUGCGGUGUGGGAUGGGCCCGCGGCCUAUCAGCUUGAUGGUGGGGUGAUGGCCUACCAAGGCGACGACGGGUAGCCGGCCUGAGAGGGUGACCGGCCACACUGGGACUGAGAUACGGCCCAGACUCCUACGGGAGGCAGCAGUGGGGAAUAUUGCACAAUGGGCGCAAGCCUGAUGCAGCGACGCCGCGUGAGGGAUGACGGCCUUCGGGUUGUAAACCUCUUUCAGCACCGACGAAGCGCAAGUGACGGUAGGUGCAGAAGAAGGACCGGCCAACUACGUGCCAGCAGCCGCCGUAA
This 478-nucleotide ribosomal RNA is filed under the name uncultured bacterium. RNAcentral describes it as "partial 16S ribosomal RNA". It matches the Rfam family "Bacterial small subunit ribosomal RNA", at positions 28 to 523 of the family's 1533-position model. The record is from RNAcentral.